This 292-nucleotide ribosomal RNA is filed under the name uncultured Delftia sp. RNAcentral describes it as "partial 16S ribosomal RNA". It matches the Rfam family "Bacterial small subunit ribosomal RNA", at positions 505 to 796 of the family's 1533-position model. Lineage: Bacteria; Pseudomonadati; Pseudomonadota; Betaproteobacteria; Burkholderiales; Comamonadaceae. The record is from RNAcentral.
GUGUCAGCCGCCGCGGUAAUACGUAGGGUGCGAGCGUUAAUCGGAAUUACUGGGCGUAAAGCGUGCGCAGGCGGUUAUGUAAGACAGAUGUGAAAUCCCCGGGCUCAACCUGGGAACUGCAUUUGUGACUGCAUGGCUAGAGUACGGUAGAGGGGGAUGGAAUUCCGCGUGUAGCAGUGAAAUGCGUAGAUAUGCGGAGGAACGCCGAUGACGAAGGCAAUCCCCUGGACCUGUACUGACGCUGAGGCGCGAAAGCGUGGGGAGCAAACAGGAUUAGAAACCCUUGUAGUCC